AUGCUGCGUUGCUUUAAGAAAGUCAAGGACUCCUCUGCAUUAGAGUUAACAGAAAGUGCACCUGCCCUGCCCUGCUGUACCUUCCGUUACGUGAAUGAUCAGCGCCUGGGUCUAUUCUCAACGCAGAAGCAGAGGUGCUUCCUUAAGCACAGGCUUUGUUUUCAGCACGUGAAGGCUUGGCCGGGGAUACCACAAACCACCAAACCUCCAAGUAUCCUGAUUCAAUGCGUGUUGAAGUCUAUACUCUACUGUAAUUUUCUCAAUAUUAAGGAAUUAGCCAGCAGUUAGCAUUGCAUUUUUCUACUUAUUAAACAAAUUAAGAGGUAUUUUGAAUAUAUUCAGACUGUUAGAGCAUGUGGUUUCUAUCUGGGAAGAGCAGAGGUUCCUGUAAAGGCAGUGAGUAAUUACCUUAGCACUGGUGACUCCGGGCUCAAGCUCGGCGGCACAAUGUAAUAAGAGACAGUUGCCAUAAACACACUAGUGGGGGUGAAUCGUGGUGUGUGGCCUUCUGGUGAGAAACAGAUAUCAGCCCUAGGUGAACCUCCUCCACUCCAGUCUCCACAUCAACUCCUGAUCCUUAAACUCUUUUGUUCUGAAAUUACACGGCUAUUAUUUAUAAUUACUCCACGGUUCUCUGUCAGAUUUUAUAUUUGAAGAAUGCCAUCUGCUAUUUAAAUUUACCAAUAAUUACUUAAAAUGCAUUCAUAGGAAGUACUUCAUGCAAGCUGGUUGGAAAGGGACAACUCGUGGCACUUUAAAGUGAAACACUUGACUUCAACACAACUACAAUUACAGAUCCCAGAGUCUCAGGUGAUACAAGUCUGUGUCUCCUUUAUUUUAAAUAGUAAAGCAUUAAGUGCAUGAUCAGAAUUGCUUGUGGUCUCCUUUACUGUUUUCUCACUAAAGCAUAAUCAAAUUUACCAACAUUUAUUUCUGAGAAAUUAAUAUUAAAUGCCUGUAGCAUUUUCAAGUGUGUCUGCAGGGCAUUAUGGCCUAGACCCAUGCAUGUCUUUUGGGGAGAAUGUCUAAAAUUUAUCUUGCGUACUUGACUUCACCUGACUUUCAAAAGAGCUUCCCCAAGGGAGACUAGACUCCUGUUGAUCUGCUAGUGCUCUUCACUCCACCCCAGGAACAAAACAUCUGAGCAAAGCAAGGCUCUCGUAUAAGCUACAAUGGAAGAAAAAUUCUUGGUGCUUGGAAACACGAAAGGCUGUGUCAAGGCAGAGAAUGAGAGAGUUAUUCGUUGGCUUAUCCACGUUGGCACUGAAAAUUAAUUUUUUCCACCAGGUCCUGUACUAGUGUCUCAUUUGCCUACUACAAUCCGUCAGUAUUAGUUUGGAAAAUGGCACUUUAAGGAUUUCCUAAAUCAGAGAUUUUGCCAAGUACCGAGUAUGCUUUCAACCAAUUCUAUGUGUAUCUGGAUUCAAAAUCCACUUUGAAGUUUGGAGUACAACCCGGUAAAUCACUGUAUUUCUAAGGCCAGCUAAGCAGGGGAACAAAAGAAACCUGGAGAUACUGCCCAAAUUAAGAAGUACUGCAGCACAACAGAGAGAGCAGGAACGGCUGGACAGAAGCAGCAAAUGGGCACUGAGUUUUACUUGCCCUGAAAUGUGGUACUGAAGUGCUCUGACCAGGAGCAUUCUAAGUAGGUGGUCGGACUGUCUGUCUCCUCAAAGCAUACUGCCUGUAAAUUCGCUGCAGUGCAUGAGGUAAGAAAAGCAGCAUGUCUGGCAUGAAAGUAAAAAUAUUCUGCUGCUCAAGUAAUAGAGAACUACUGACCCCUAUCAUGCGAGAGGUAACAACAGGUAGAUUAAAGAGCAUUUCACUCCCCUUUUCCCGCACACAUACACACAGACACACACGCACACACAAAGUCCUAAGCCUCUUGCCAGGCAGGGUUCUUCCAGCUUUUUCUGAUCCAGAACACUUUUUUAAUCACUUCAUUUUGUUUAGUG
Long non-coding RNA from Chinchilla lanigera (long-tailed chinchilla), 1955 nucleotides. NCBI's taxonomy places the organism in Eukaryota, Metazoa, Chordata, Mammalia, Rodentia, Chinchillidae. The record is from Ensembl.